GACGAACGCUGGCGGCGUGCUUAACACAUGCAAGUCGAACGGAAAGGCCCUGCUUUUGUGGGGUGCUCGAGUGGCGAACGGGUGAGUAACACGUGAGUAACCUGCCCUUGACUUUGGGAUAACUACAGGAAACUGGGGCUAAUACCGGAUAGGAGCUCCUGCUGCAUGGUGGGGGUUGGAAAGUUUCGGCGGUUGGGGAUGGACUCGCGGCUUAUCAGCUUGUUGGUGGGGUAGUGGCUUACCAAGGCUUUGACGGGUAGCCGGCCUGAGAGGGUGACCGGCCACAUUGGGACUGAGAUACGGCCCAGACUCCUACGGGAGGCAGCAGUGGGGAAUAUUGCACAAUGGGCGGAAGCCUGAUGCAGCAACGCCGCGUGCGGGAUGACGGCCUUCGGGUUGUAAACCGCUUUCGCCUGUGACGAAGCGUGAGUGACGGUAAUGGGUAAAGAAGCACCGGCUAACUACGUGCCAGCAGCCGCGGUGAUACGUAGGGUGCGAGCGUUGUCCGGAUUUAUUGGGCGUAAAGGGCUCGGAGGUGGUUGAUCGCGUCGGAAGUGUAAUCUUGGGGCUUAACCCUGAGCGUGCUUUCGAUACGGGUUGACUUGAGGAAUUUAGGGGAGAAUGGAAUUCCUGGUGGAGCGGUGGAAUGCGCAGAUAUCAGGAGGAACACCAGUGGCGAAGGCGGUUCUCUGGGCCUUUCCUGACGCUGAGGAGCGAAAGCGUGGGGAGCGAACAGGCUUAGAUACCCUGGUAGUCCACGCUGUAAACGGUGGGUACUAGGUGUGGGGUCCAUUCCACGGGUUCCGUGCCGUAGCUAACGCUUUAAGUACCCCGCCUGGGGAGUACGGCCGCAAGGCUAAAACUCAAAGGAAUUGACGGGGCCCCGCACAAGCGGCGGAGCAUGCGGAUUAAUUCGAUGCAACGCGUAGAACCUUACCUGGGUUUGACAUGGAUCGGGAGUGCUCAGAGAUGGGUGUGCCUCUUUUGGGGUCGGUUCACAGGUGGUGCAUGGCUGUCGUCAGCUCGUGUCGUGAGAUGUUGGGUUAAGUCCCGCAACGAGCGCAACCCUUGUUCACUGUUGCCAGCACGUUAUGGUGGGGACUCAGUGGAGACCGCCGGGGUCAACUCGGAGGAAGGUGGGGAUGACGUCAAGUCAUCAUGCCCCUUAUGUCCAGGGCUUCACGCAUGCUACAAUGGCUGGUACAGAGAGUGGCGAGCCUGUGAGGGUGAGCGAAUCUCGGAAAGCCGGUCUCAGUUCGGAUUGGAGUCUGCAACUCGACCUCAUGAAGUCGGAGUCGCUAGUAAUCGCAGAUCAGCAACGCUGCGGUGAAUACGUUCCCGGGGCU
This 1346-nucleotide ribosomal RNA is filed under the name uncultured bacterium. Its description in RNAcentral is "partial 16S ribosomal RNA". It matches the Rfam family "Bacterial small subunit ribosomal RNA", at positions 28 to 1381 of the family's 1533-position model. The record is from RNAcentral.